Molecule: long non-coding RNA, 269 nt
Organism: Xenia sp. Carnegie-2017
Lineage: Eukaryota; Metazoa; Cnidaria; Anthozoa; Malacalcyonacea; Xeniidae
Exons: 3
Source: RefSeq, a predicted model, not a curated record
CAACGCCUAUAUGUGCAAAUAAAGCAUAUAAGGUUGGAAUAAAGUCAUAAAAUUGGAAAUGUAGACAUUUACAAGUUACGCGUAUGGAAUUAAUGGAAAGAACCGCGAAAGAGUCCUGUUUUGUAAAGUUUUUUGAAGCUCGAAGGCCGUUUUGAUUCGUCAUUUGAAUUUCAUGUUGUUGCUUGAGUAAAUUUUACGGAUCGGGACCAGGUGCUGAUGGGCCGAGGCAGAGAACUCUAAAAUUAGUGGCCCCGCUUUUAUUUUAAAAC